CCUUGAAAUACCACCCUUUAAUGUUUGAUGUUCUAACGUGGAUCCGUAAUCCGGGUUGCGGACAGUGUCUGGUGGGUAGUUUGACUGGGGCGGUCUCCUCCUAAAGAGUAACGGAGGAGCACGAAGGUUGGCUAAUCCUGGUCGGACAUCAGGAGGUUAGUGCAAUGGCAUAAGCCAGCUUGACUGCGAGCGUGACGGCGCGAGCAGGUGCGAAAGCAGGUCAUAGUGAUCCGGUGGUUCUGAAUGGAAGGGCCAUCGCUCAACGGAUAAAAGGUACUCCGGGGAUAACAGGCUGAUACCGCCCAAGAGUUCAUAUCGACGGCGGUGUUUGGCACCUCGAUGUCGGCUCAUCACAUCCUGGGGCUGAAGUAGGUCCCAAGGGUAUGGCUGUUCGCCAUUUAAAGUGGUACGCGAGCUGGGUUUAGAACGUCGUGAGACAGUUCGGUCCCUAUCUGCCGUGGGCGCUGGAGAACUGAGGGGGGCUGCUCCUAGUACGAGAGGACCGGAGUGGACGCAUCACUGGUGUUCGGGUUGUCAUGCCAAUGGCACUGCCCGGUAGCUAAAUGCGGAAGAGAUAAGUGCUGAAAGCAUCUAAGCACGAAACUUGCCCCGA
RNAcentral lists this ribosomal RNA (613 nucleotides) under Salmonella enterica subsp. enterica serovar Infantis. Its description in RNAcentral is "partial 23S ribosomal RNA". It matches the Rfam family "Bacterial large subunit ribosomal RNA", at positions 2190 to 2802 of the family's 2925-position model. RNAcentral also lists the same sequence under 1 other name. The record is from RNAcentral. Lineage: Bacteria; Pseudomonadati; Pseudomonadota; Gammaproteobacteria; Enterobacterales; Enterobacteriaceae.